CCGCCACCUCAAGAAUUUAUGUUACAUACACAAAAUAAAACAUUAGAAAAAACUUUGAUAGAAAUAAAACUAAAAUGUUCUUUGAAUACAAAAACAACUCAUUCUGGGACCAUGUGUGCCCGAUAUGUACUUGCAAGGCCAAUCUUACUAAACUACACUAUUAAGCAAUUAGAAGUUAGAUUUUCUACUGCCUUGCUUAUCUAUAUUAGCUAAUAAAGCAUAGCGUUUGUUAUGCAUAUUAUAAAGCAACUGUCUACACAGGGGUUCCAAAAUAUUACUGGUUUCCUCAAAAACAGCUCUGUUUGCAUUAAUGUCUACAUAAC
This 323-nucleotide long non-coding RNA is filed under the name Mytilus galloprovincialis (Mediterranean mussel). Lineage: Eukaryota; Metazoa; Mollusca; Bivalvia; Mytilida; Mytilidae. The record is from RNAcentral.